Molecule: long non-coding RNA, 782 nt
Organism: Aedes aegypti (yellow fever mosquito)
Lineage: Eukaryota; Metazoa; Arthropoda; Insecta; Diptera; Culicidae
Exons: 3
Source: RefSeq, a predicted model, not a curated record
AUCAUAAAUCAUACGUUAACUGCUUCCAAUAUUGUGGCUUAAUUGUGUUACUAUAAAUAUAUUUCGGUUUUGUACUGUAUCUCACACUACAUCUACUGUAUCGCUAACGGUUACCGUAUAUCUAAUUGCUAUCAAUCAGUUCCAUAUAGUCCAUAUUUGGAAACUAUGAAUAAAUCAACUAUUUCUAAACUUACGUGGGUUGUAUCGGAAAUGGUUACAAUUUGGCAAAACAUUCAAAUAUGAUUGCAUACUGUUUAGUAUCAUGAAAAGUUGUCACACAUACAUUGAAGUCUUAUGGUUUGAUAGUAAACAUACCGUACGCGGAGUAGUUAUAUUGCACUUGUGUGCGUUUUGUGAAAUCGUAGAAAAUUUUUCAUCAGUCAAACUGCCAUAUUUGUGUUCAUUUCUGCGAAUCGAGUGUCGAAACUUGUUUGAAGUGAAAUAAGGAAUGCAUACUUCUUAGGACUUCAGAGUGGUGCUGCAACAUAUCUACAGAGUUUCUGAAAGAUGUUUCAACAGCGCCGAAGGAUCGUGGAACCAGAAUAUCAUCCCCAAUGCUGAAUCUAGGCGCUGAGUUCAACUUGAACCUGUUUCGCAACUUUUAGCGGAAACAAAUAAAUACAACAUUUGUUCGUAGAUACACGAAUUGUCUUGUUAAAUUAUUAUGAAUAGGAAAAAAAAUAGAAUGGCAUAGGGUUGAUAUACCGUUGACUACCAUAAUCCAAUAAUUUCACAAAUUGUAAACGUUUUUAUUCAAAAUAUGUUGUUUUACAAUUCUAGAA